AUACUUUGGUUUCUCUUCAGAUUGUAUAAAUCUUUCGCCUUUUACUAAAGAUUUCCGUGGAGAGGAACAUUUAUGAGUUUUGUAAGCUUUUUGGAUUAAGAUUUGGUGGAACAUUC
Molecule: small nuclear RNA, 116 nt
Organism: Crotalus tigris (Tiger rattlesnake)
Lineage: Eukaryota; Metazoa; Chordata; Lepidosauria; Squamata; Viperidae
Product: U5 spliceosomal RNA
Exons: 1
Source: RefSeq, a predicted model, not a curated record